UACGGAGGAUCCAAGCGUUAUCCGGAUUUAUUGGGUUUAAAGGGUGCGUAGGCGGGAGAUUAAGUCGGUGGUGAAAUUUUGCAGCUCAACUGUAAAAGUGCCAUUGAUACUGGUUUCCUUGAGUGUGGAUGAAGUAGGCGGAAUUUGUGGUGUAGCGGUGAAAUGCAUAGAUAUCACGAGGAACUCCGAUUGCGCAGGCAGCUUACUAAACCAUAACUGACGCUCAGGCACGAAGGCGUGGGGAUCAAACAGGAUUAGAUACCCG
This 265-nucleotide ribosomal RNA is filed under the name uncultured prokaryote. RNAcentral describes it as "partial 16S ribosomal RNA". It matches the Rfam family "Bacterial small subunit ribosomal RNA", at positions 524 to 788 of the family's 1533-position model. The record is from RNAcentral.